AUUGAACGCUGGCGGCAUGCUUUACACAUGCAAGUCGAACGGUAACAGGCCUUCGGGUGCUGACGAGUGGCGAACGGGUGAGUAAUGCAUCGGAACGUGCCCAGAGGUGGGGGAUAACGCAGCGAAAGCUGUGCUAAUACCGCAUGUGAUCUGAGGAUGAAAGCGGGGGACCAGGCAGCAAUGUUUGGCCUCGCGCCUUUGGAGCGGCCGAUGUCAGGUUAGGUAGUUGGUGGGGUAAAGGCCUACCAAGCCGACGAUCUGUAGCUGGUCUGAGAGGACGACCGGCCACACUGGGGCUGAGACACGGCCCAGACUCCUACGGGAGGCAGCAGUGGGGAAUUUUGGACAAUGGGCGCAAGCCUGAUCCAGCAAUGCCGCGUGCGGGAAGAAGGCCUUCGGGUUGUAAACCGCUUUUGUACGGAACGAAAAGGCUCUGGCUAAUACCUGGGGCUGAUGACGGUACCGUAAGAAUAAGCACCGGCUAACUACGUG
RNAcentral lists this ribosomal RNA (492 nucleotides) under uncultured bacterium. RNAcentral describes it as "partial 16S ribosomal RNA". It matches the Rfam family "Bacterial small subunit ribosomal RNA", at positions 29 to 507 of the family's 1533-position model. The record is from RNAcentral.